RNAcentral lists this long non-coding RNA (294 nucleotides) under Capsicum annuum. RNAcentral's name for it is "long non-coding RNA (CANN_LNC017869)". Lineage: Eukaryota; Viridiplantae; Streptophyta; Magnoliopsida; Solanales; Solanaceae. The record is from RNAcentral.
CAUUGUAUUUUUUUAAACUGGGUUAAGUUGUGCACUAUUGGUGAAGUACGAGUAACCAAAUGGUUGGUUUGUCCAUUUGAGCCGACAUGUGAGACUUAGCCCUUAGUUGUAGCCAUAGUUUAGCAAGUUGCGCAUGGUGCUAAUGCAAAAUAAGUAAUUCCCUCCAUUUAAAAUUUUGAGAAUCAAGGGCAUGGACGUGAGCAACAUUGUAACAAAUCUCUUUCUCUUUUUAUGGCUUCAUAAAUUUUUAACUUAUGAAUAGAAAUAAAUACUCUAAAUUAUGUCUAACAGGAG